UAAUACGAAGGGGGCUAGCGUUGUUCGGAUUUACUGGGCGUAAAGCGCGCGCAGGCGGCCAAUCAAGUCAGGGGUGAAAGCCCAGAGCUCAACUCUGGAACUGCCUUUGAGACUGUUUGGCUUCGAGUACGGGAGAGGUGAGUGGAAUUCCCAGUGUAGAGGUGAAAUUCGUAGAUAUUGGGAAGAACACCGGUGGCGAAGGCGGCUCACUGGCCCGUUACUGACGCUCAGGCGCGACAGCGUGGGGAUCAAACAGGAUUAGAUACCCUGGUAGUCCACGCCGUAAACGAUGGACGCUAGCCGUUGGCAAGCUUGCUUGUCAGUGGCGCAGCUAACGCAUUAAGCGUCCCGCCUGGGGAGUACGGCCGCAAGGUUG
RNAcentral lists this ribosomal RNA (376 nucleotides) under uncultured bacterium. RNAcentral describes it as "bacterial SSU rRNA". It matches the Rfam family "Bacterial small subunit ribosomal RNA", at positions 521 to 896 of the family's 1533-position model. The record is from RNAcentral.